Long non-coding RNA from Silurus meridionalis, 985 nucleotides. RefSeq lists it as uncharacterized. The record is from RefSeq and is a predicted model, not a curated record. NCBI's taxonomy places the organism in Eukaryota, Metazoa, Chordata, Actinopteri, Siluriformes, Siluridae. The transcript has 2 exons.
UAUAACUGCGCUUUUGUUUUGUUUUUUACCACCUGCUCGAUUCCGCCUCCGAAACCAGCACAGACGCACCUGUCCUUUACUCUGAUUGGUGGAGAGCCAGGAUCGGUCACGUGGUACGCAGACAGGUGGGGAGCAUUCUUAAGGUUUCUAAGCGAGCCCAACCCUUUACUACAAUGUAGCUGCCAUGGCUCAGCCCUAUGCAGGAGUUUGGAGAAACAGCACUUUGAAGGCCUCUGUGACGUUGCCUGCUCUGUUCAAUCUCAUUGUGAAGCUGCAGCACGAUGUUUGUGAGUCACAGCACGCUUACAAUGCUUCUGACCCAGAGGAACCUCUUCCAGGAUCCAGUGGGCAUGAGGGCUGGAUUCUGAUUGGUUGUGACUGAAGCCCACAGCAUGGCAGAAUGCAGGGAGUGGGCUUGGAGGUGGAGAUGGACAGAGGCCACAGAGCUGACUGUUGACCUACAGAUCAAAUCAUCUAAAACAGAUCUUUACUUCCUUCAUGUGUCUGCUCUUCGUUUUAAAUGCUGGAGAAAUGUGUAUCCGAUUUCCACAACCUGUUCAUCUUCUGUACAUCCCACCAGGAGCUUCCUCAUACUUACUUCAUUACUUACUACUGAAGCUAUUCAUGAGAUUAAUGAGAGUGUGUGUGUGUGUGUGUGUGUGUGUGUGUGUAACAGAAACACACAGCAGUAUAAAUGCCCAGGAGGGGAUUAGCUCUGUACCACCCAGGAGUGGAAUUUCUCUAACAAAGAUCGGAGUGUAUUAAAGGUCUGAUUGUGUCCCUCGUUGUCUGGAGAACCCGAGCAGAUCAUCAAGGUGUGCAGUGACCAUGGUGUGAUUGUGUAUACAUGACUCAUUAGAGACAUUCUCUUACUGCAGGUGAAGAGCGUUUCCUAUGAGCUCCUUCAUCUCAUACACACAUAUUUAUGGCUCAGGAUUUCAUCAUAAAUGUUCAUCACUCACCAAUAAACAGAAAACUGAGAACA